UUCUCUUGCCUGAUAUGAGUUCGAAGAGCAUCAUGCCAUAGCUAAAGACAUCUGCCUUUGCUGUUAUUGCCACACCACUGAUCCAUUCAGGUGCAAGGUAGCCCCUUGUUCCUCUCAUUGUUGUCAAUACACGGCUGAACUCUCUGCCCAAGAGCUUCGCUAGACCAAAAUCAGCCACUUUAGGCACAAAGGACUCAUCCAAGAGUAUGUUUUCUGGCUUGACAUCACAGUGUAUAAUGCAAUCCCUACAUUUUUCAUGCAGGUAAUUUAAGCCCCUUGCUGUUCCAAGUGCUAUUUGGUACCUGGUAGCCCAGCUCAGUGUUGUUGUCUCACCAGAGAAUAGCUGCAGGUCCAGGGAGCCCUUUGGCAUGAACUCAUA
Molecule: long non-coding RNA, 379 nt
Filed under: Sorghum bicolor (sorghum)
Lineage: Eukaryota; Viridiplantae; Streptophyta; Magnoliopsida; Poales; Poaceae
Description: long non-coding RNA (SBIC_LNC003817)
Source: RNAcentral